RNAcentral lists this ribosomal RNA (1340 nucleotides) under uncultured bacterium. RNAcentral's name for it is "partial 16S ribosomal RNA". It matches the Rfam family "Bacterial small subunit ribosomal RNA", at positions 28 to 1381 of the family's 1533-position model. The record is from RNAcentral.
GAUGAACGCUGGCGGCGUGCUUAACACAUGCAAGUCGAACGGAAAGGCCCCUGCUUGCUUGGGUGCUCGAGUGGCGAACGGGUGAGUAACACGUGGGAGAUCUGCCCUGCACUUUGGGAUAAGCCUGGGAAACUGGGUCUAAUACCGGAUAGGACCAUGGUUUAGAGGCCGUGGUGGAAAGUUUUUUCGGGGGGGAAUAACCUCCCGGCCUAUCACUUGGUUGGGGGGGAAAGGGCCUACCAAGGCGCCAACGGUAACCCGGCCUGAAAGGUGGUACGGCCCCUUUGGAACUGAAAUACGGCCCAAACUCCUACGGAAGGCACCAUGGGGAAAUAUUGCACAAGGGGCGCAAGCCUGAUGCACCAACCCCCCGGGGGGAAUAACGGCCUUCGGUUUGAAAAUUCCUUUCCUCAAGGACAAGGCUUUAUGUAACGGUACUUGAAAAAAAACCACCGGUUAAUUACUUGCCACCACCCGCGGAAUUACUUAGGGGGCAACCGUUGUCCGAAUUUACGGGCCGUAAGAGCUCGUAGGGGGUUUGUCGCGUCGUUUGUGAAAUACCCCACUUUACUUGUGGACUUGCAGGCGAUACGGGCAUAACUUGAGUGUUGUAGGGGAGACUGGAAUUCCUGGUGUAGCGGUGGAAUGCGCAGAUAUCAGGAGGAACACCGAUGGCGAAGGCAGGUCUCUGGGCAGUAACUGACGCUGAGGAGCGAAAGCAUGGGUAGCGAACAGGAUUAGAUACCCUGGUAGUCCAUGCCGUAAACGGUGGGCGCUAGGUGUGAGUCCCUUCCACGGGGUUCGUGCCGUAGCUAACGCAUUAAGCGCCCCGCCUGGGGAGUACGGCCGCAAGGCUAAAACUCAAAGGAAUUGACGGGGGCCCGCACAAGCGGCGGAGCAUGUGGAUUAAUUCGAUGCAACGCGAAGAACCUUACCUGGGCUUGACAUGCACCAGAUGGCUGUAGAGAUACAGUGUCCCUUGGGGGUGGUGCACAGGUGGCGCAUGGUUGUUCUCAGCUCGUGUCGAGAGAUGGGGGGUUAAGUCCCGCAGAGAGCGCACCCCUUGUUAUAUGUCCCCCACGUCUCGGCCGGGGUCUCAAGAGAGACCCCCGGGGUUAACUCCGAAGAAGGGGGGGAAGAUCUCAUCUCCUCACGCCCCAUAUGCACAGGGUCUCACACAUGACACAAUGGUCGGCACAACGUGUGAGGACCCCGGGAGGUGAAGUGGAUCGCGGAAAGCCGGUCGUAGUUCGGAUUGGGGUCUGCAACUCGACCCCAUGAAGUCGGAGUCGCUAGUAAUCGCAGAUCAGCAACGCUGCGGUGAAUACGUUCCCGGGCCU